GCUGGGCAUGGUGGCGGGUGCCUGUAAUCCCAGCUACUUGGGAGGCUGAGGCAGGAGAAUCACUUGAACCCAGGAGGCAGAGGUUGCAGUGAUCAUGCCACUGCAUUCCAGCCCGGGUGACAGAGUGAGACUCUGUCUCAA
This 141-nucleotide non-coding RNA is filed under the name Pan troglodytes (chimpanzee). Lineage: Eukaryota; Metazoa; Chordata; Mammalia; Primates; Hominidae. The record is from Rfam by way of RNAcentral.